RNAcentral lists this ribosomal RNA (1476 nucleotides) under uncultured prokaryote. RNAcentral describes it as "partial 16S ribosomal RNA". It matches the Rfam family "Bacterial small subunit ribosomal RNA". The record is from RNAcentral.
AACGAACGCUGGCGGCGUACUUAACACAUGCAAGUCGAACGCGAAAGUCACCUUCGGGUGGCGAGUAGAGUGGCGCACGGGUGAGUAACGCGUAAAUAAUCUACCCUUAUAUCUGGGAUAACAUUGGGAAACUGGUGCUAAUACCGGAUACAGAGAUAACGCGAGUUAAUUCAAGGAAAGGUGACCUCUUCUUGAAAGUUGCCGUAUAAGGACGAGUUUGCGUACCAUUAGCUAGUUGGUGGGGUAAAGGCCUACCAAGGCAUCGAUGGUUAGCGGGUCUGAGAGGAUGAUCCGCCACACUGGAACUGGAACACGGACCAGACUCCUACGGGAGGCAGCAGUGAGGAAUAUUGCGCAAUGGGGGAAACCCUGACGCAGUGACGCCGCGUGAGUGAAGAAGGUCUUCGGGUCGUAAAGCUCUGUCAGGUGGGAAGAAAUGCUUUAUGGUUAAUACCCAUAGAGUUUGACGGUACCACCAAAGGAAGCACCGGCUAAAUCCGUGCCAGCAGCCGCGGUAAUACGGAUGGUGCGAGCGUUGUUCGGAAUCACUGGGCGUAAAGGGCGCGUAGGUGGUUAGAUAAGUUGGAUGUGAAAGCCCCGGGCUUAACCUGGGAACUGCAUUCAAAACUGUCUAGCUAGAGUACGAUAGAGGGGGGUAGAAUUUCAGGUGUAGCGGUGAAAUGCGUAGAGAUCUGAAGGAAUACCAGUGGCGAAGGCGGCCCCCUGGAUUGAUACUGACACUGAGGUGCGAAAGCGUGGGUAGCAAACAGGAUUAGAUACCCUGGUAGUCCAUGCCGUAAACGAUGUCAACUAGCCGUUGGAAGACUUGAUCUUUUAGUGGCGCAGCUAACGCAAUAAGUUGACCGCCUGGGGAGUACGGCCGCAAGGUUAAAACUCAAAUGAAUUGACGGGGGCCCGCACAAGCGGUGGAGCAUGUGGUUUAAUUCGAUGCAAUGUGAAGAACCUUACCUACUCUUGACAUCCUCAGAACUUAGCAGAGAUGCUUUGGUGCCUUCGGGAACUGAGUGACAGGUGCUGCAUGGCUGUCGUCAGCUCGUGUUGUGAAAUGUUGGGUUAAGUCCCGUAACGAGCGCAACCCUUGUCCUUAUUUGCCAGCACGUAAUGGUGGGAACUUUAAGAGACUGCCGGUGACAAACCGGAGGAAGGUGGGGAUGACGUCAAGUCAUCAUGGCCCUUAUGGGUAGGGCUACACACGUGCUACAAUGGUCGGUACAGAGGGCAGCAACCCCGCGAGGGUGAGCGAAUCUCACAAAACCGGUCGUAGUCCGGAUUGGAGUCUGCAACUCGACUCCAUGAAGUCGGAAUCGCUAGUAAUCGCAGAUCAGAAUGCUGCGGUGAAUACGUUCCCGGGCCUUGUACACACCGCCCGUCACACCAUGGGAGUUGGUUGUACCAGAAGUCGCUAGUCUAACCUUCGGGAGGACGGCGCCCACGGUAUGGUCAAUGACUGGGGUG